This 2064-nucleotide long non-coding RNA is filed under the name Marmota monax (woodchuck). Lineage: Eukaryota; Metazoa; Chordata; Mammalia; Rodentia; Sciuridae. The record is from RNAcentral.
CCGGCGGGAGCUGCUCUCGGCUCGGCGGUCGCGGCGCCCGCAGUCUGGAGGCGCACCGGAGUGUCCGGGGCGCCCCCCGCGGGAGCCCGCGGCUACCCGGGGCGCGCAUCCAGCCGCGGCGCCUUGGGCCGGGCACGCUGCGCCCCCGGGAUCUGCGGACCCUGCGCCGCCGCCGCCGCCGCCACCGCUUCGGAGCUUGUGCUGCGCGGGCUGGCCGGCCGAGCGGCCAGGGCCCGGACCGCCUCCCUGCGCCCGCCGCGGCUUCUCCCCCUGGCGGUGGGAGCCUCGGCGGCCGCCGGCUAUACUAGGCGCACUGGAGCCCGAGCCGAGCCGAGCCCGAGCCGCGCCGCCACCACCACCGCCGCCGCCUCUCCCGGGCGCCCUCCCAGCGCGCGGGCCGGGAUUGGGGGGGGUGCGCCGGGCCGGAGCAGCGAGGGCGGGCGAGGGGGCGCGCACUGGGGUUGGCGCUGAAGACCGGACUCCCAGCCGCGAGGGGUAAGUGUGGGCGCUUGCGAGUGCGCUUGGGGGUGCGCGGCGCAGUUCUCGACGCCCGCCAACCCUGCCCCCUCACCUCUCAUGGGCCCCCACCACGGCACCCCCUCCUCUUGCCGCCUGCGGCUUCCUCUUGUUGUUCCUUGUUUGGCUUGGCUUUUGGGGGGUGGGGGGGAGAGGAGGGGAGGGUGUAGUGUGUGUGCCAGCGGAGUAGGAAGUCAGGUAAGAGGCUUCGAAGCACCCCCCAACCUAACCUGCGUGGGGUGUAUUGCUCCCCACUAGGGGCAUGUGGUCCAAUUUAUUUUUCUUGUCAAUAUUCGGUUGAGAUAAUCAGUACUAGAGGGCCUCCUUCCCUUCAGCCUCCUUCUUGGCAUUCUCAUCCCUCUCAUCGCCUCCCCCCAUCCAGGAGCCCUGCACCCCAACUGAGGAGCACGUGGCAGAAGGAGAAUGAGGGGGCCCUCUCUUGCAGACCCCCACGCUGUAUGUACCUCAGUGCAUUUGUUUCAGCAUUUAUCCUCAUGGUAGCAGCUGUACUUUUCAACCCACUGGAAGGAGAUGCCUAAGCUGAUGAACAGUUUCUCCCAAGAAGCUGGGGGCAAAGAAUGGAAGGAAUGCAGAUUUCAUUAACUAGUGACUCUGGAGAUGCGGGCUAGGGGAACCUUCCCAAAUGGGAAAACUCCAAAGAUUUCUGAAAGACCAGGAUAACUGGAGGCUCAGAAACCCAGGUUAAGAAACUGGAACUGGAUCAACCUUAACCCUCUCCCCACUGCCAACCCUGUCCCCUAGCUCUAAGGAAGCUAACAGGUCUUUUGUAUUGUGUCGCCUUUGGAGAAUUUGCAUAGAGUAUGACAACAGCAAAUUACUACUGUUUACUCAAAGUUAAGGGGAUUGCAGAAAGAGAAAACAUGGUUUUUUACUUUUUCUCUUUGUAUGCGUGUGUUUGGCAAGGAGUGGAGUUGUUAGGUUCAUGGCAUGAACUGCAAAACGUCAGUUUAUAACAAUAAAGACUGCAAAGCCGCCUAGGUAUAUUUUUAGAAGCUGUACUUUCUUGAGUUCCUUUCACACAAGGCUUGCUCUCAUUAAGUCCCCAUAAAUAAUUGUAUUUAGAAGGAAACUAUAGAAGCAGGAAAGAGAUUGCUAAGAUUUCCAUCCUGCCAGUGCAGAGCACUGUUUGCUGGGAAGUUCCUGGAAAGUGACUGUGGGCUGAGAAUUCAGUUUUUCCUAAAAGCUCUGUUAGGUCCUCUUCUGUCAGAUGCCUAUGAAUAAAACACGCUGGGAAAAUCCUGAUAUCUGUGCAGUCUUAUUUUAUCUUUUACACAGUGGUUGAUUUGCGUUUCAAGCUCUGGUAACAAACACAUCAACUGUGCUGUAUUUUUGUGUGGCUUUUCUAAAUAAAGGAGAAUAGCAUGUGCAUUCAUGCUGCUUUCUGAUAUGCACCCCCACCUUCUAUCCAGGGAUAUUGAACUUACUGGAAUUUACCCAUCUUUUUCUAUUGAUCAUCAUUUUCUGCAGAGACAAUUCCAAAGACACAAUACAAAAAAAUAUGCAUUAGUGUUCUUUUGGGGAACUAGC